CCCCCCCAUGUCCCCCACGAUGUCCCCCCGUGCGUCCCCGCAGGAUCUCGGACCGCGGCGGGGGGAUCCCGCACGAGCUGCUCGACAAGGUCACCCAGUACCACUUCAGCACGGCCGAGGCGAGCGCUCAGGACCCGCGGCUGGGCGGCGCCUUGGGGCAGCUGCUGGCGCUGAGCAACCGCGGCCAGGCGGGGCCCAUGCACGGGUUCGGCUUCGGGCUGCCGACGUCGCGCGCCUACGCCGAGUACCUGGGCGGCUCCCUGUGCCUGCAGUCGCUGCAGGGCGUCGGCACCGACGUCUACCUGCGCCUGCGCCACAUCGACGGCAAGGCCGAGAGCUUCCGCAUCUGAGCGCGGCCGCCCGGACGCCUGGGCCCCCUCGCCCGGACGCCUGGGCCCCCACCCAGACGGCCCCGAACGCCUGGGCCCCCUCGCCCGGACGCCUGGGCUCCUUCCCAGAUGGCCCCGGAUGCCUGGGCUCUUCGCUCCCGGACACCUGGGCCCCUCGCCCCCGGAUGGUCCCGGACGCCUGGGCCCCUCCCCGCCCUCACCUCCGCCACGACCGACCGACCGACCGACCGCCCGGGGCUGCCGCCCUCAUUAAAGCUGCAGCCGCUAACGAACCCGGCGCGCGAGCGGGUUUAUUUCUUUCGGGGGGGGCCCAGGCGUCCGGGCGGCUCUGUGCUGCUCUGCUCCUCCCCUCCCCCCCCCGGAGGGGCCCAGGCGUCCGGGAGGGGAAUCGAGGUGUUAAUCGGUUUCUUGCCCCGAAUUCGCGGUGUCGUCGGCCGCUGGCUCUUCGGCCUCUUCCUCCUCCUCCUGCUGCUUGGGAUCCCCAGUCCUGUCUUACAUGUCACCGUCGUCCUCCUCGGGGUCUCGGCCUUCCUCGCCCUCGGGGUCGCCAUCAUCCUCCUCGGGGUUGUCAUCGUCCUUGGGGUCGCCUUCGUCGUCUUUGGGGUCGCCGUCAUCCUCCUCGGGGUCGCCUUCCUCGUCCCCGGGGUCACCUUCCUCCUCCUCCUCCUCCUCCUCCUCGGAGUCACCUUCCUCCUCGGAGUCACUUUCCUCGUCCCCAGGGUCACCUUCCUCCUCCUCCUUGGGGUCACCAUCCUCCUCCUCGGGGUCGCGGCCUUCCUCCUUCUCAUCCUCGUCGUCCCCGCGGGCGCCGUCGGGGGCCGGGCGGCAGCAGGGGCAGUCGGAGCGGUGGGACGGUUCGGCGUCGCGCCGG
This 1221-nucleotide long non-coding RNA is filed under the name Apteryx owenii (little spotted kiwi). RNAcentral's name for it is "lncRNA (ENSAOWG00000003952.1)". The record is from RNAcentral. Lineage: Eukaryota; Metazoa; Chordata; Aves; Apterygiformes; Apterygidae.